This is a long non-coding RNA of Dromiciops gliroides (monito del monte), 1071 nucleotides long. RefSeq lists it as uncharacterized. The transcript has 5 exons. The record is from RefSeq and is a predicted model, not a curated record. Lineage: Eukaryota; Metazoa; Chordata; Mammalia; Microbiotheria; Microbiotheriidae.
GGGGCAGAACCACAGAGCGCGGCGCUAUCAGGUUGUGUUGCAGGAGACCCGGGGCAUGUUGCUGUGUGUGCAUCCUCUCCACCCGUCUGGCAGGGGAGCUGCACGCCCGAGCGCGCUGGAAGCUACGUCCUGUACCUUGGUUCCUCCGACAGGAAGAGGGGGUGGCACUAUUGAAGCCAAGAGUAAGACUUGCCAGAAAUUAACAGAAAAUAAAAGAAUGAAGGAGCAUGAUUAAGCACAGAAACCUGAAAACCCACAGGUGAUGAAAUCAAGACUUGGAAGGUUUAAGUGACUUGCCCAAAGAUACACAGCUAGCUGGGAUUGGAACCAAGAUCUCCUGCCUCCAAGUCCAGCAGACUUAGGACCCAUGAGGAAUGAAAUGCUGAUAGCUUCUUACUUUGGAGGACUUCUGUAGCAGGGGGGGUGGAGGGGAGAGUUCCAAAGGAUCUGAAACAAAGCUUUUUAUCUACUUGUGAAGAUUUAUCUAGUUGUGAAGAGGGAGUUUUUAGCUAACGGAAGCUGCAGCAUUGUCUCCAGGAAAUAAUGCUUUAUCCAGAAUGGACUAUCUCCAUGAAAAGAGAUGACUCCCUCUGCCUGUUUUGUCCCUCAUUCGCUCAGUAGUCAGUGUAGAUCCUGUCCCUUUCAAUCAGCAGCUACAUCUGGCUACUGGGUCUCUGAUGGCAUCUUAGAGCUUCUCUUCCAAUCCUCUAAUGAAGACUGAUGCUUCUUGGACAAUAAGAACCUUUGUCUUGUCUUCAACAUAUAGAGAAAAUUCCUGGUGCUAAAAAGUCCUCCAGUGUGAUCUCAAAUUUGGUCAUCAUGAGUAUUUUAUUUAAAUGAGACAUGCUAAAUAACUGUGUCCUAAGACUGAAGGAUUCUGAGUUUCUGUUGAUUUCUUUGUUUCAUUGGAAUGGAUCAACUGCUAACAUAUACCUUUCGAGGAAUGCAAAUUCAUGUUUCCAUAAACUGUAUGAUUAUAACUUCUGGAUGGGCACUGUCCCUGAGGUUGGGAGCACCUGAGUUCAGAUCUCGCCUUAGACACUUACUAGCUGUGUGACCCUGGGCAAAUCA